UGAGGAAUAUUGCGCAAUGGGGGCAACCCUGACGCAGCAACGCCGCGUGAGUGAGGAAGGUUUUCGGACCGUAAAGCUCUGUCGAGCGGGAAGAAAUGCAUGGUGGCUAAUAUCCAUCAUGCUUGACGGUACCGCUAAAGGAAGCACCGGCUAACUCCGUGCCAGCAGCCGCGGUAAUACGGGGGGUGCAAGCGUUGUUCGGAAUUAUUGGGCGUAAAGAGCGUGUAGGCGGCUGGAGAAGUCAGAUGUGAAAUCCCUGGGCUUAACUCAGGAAGUGCAGUUGAAACUAUCCAGCUGGAGUAAGGGAGAGGAAAGUGGAAUUCCUGGUGUAGAGGUGAAAUUCGUAGAUAUCAGGAGGAACACCGGUGGCGAAGGCGACUUUCUGGCCCUAUACUGACGCUGAGACGCGAGAGCGUGGGUAGCAAACA
RNAcentral lists this ribosomal RNA (428 nucleotides) under uncultured prokaryote. Its description in RNAcentral is "bacterial SSU rRNA". It matches the Rfam family "Bacterial small subunit ribosomal RNA", at positions 355 to 774 of the family's 1533-position model. The record is from RNAcentral.